This 705-nucleotide ribosomal RNA is filed under the name uncultured bacterium. RNAcentral's name for it is "bacterial SSU rRNA". It matches the Rfam family "Bacterial small subunit ribosomal RNA", at positions 8 to 710 of the family's 1533-position model. The record is from RNAcentral.
AGAGUUUGAUCCUGGCUCAGGAUGAACGCUAGCGGCAGGCCUAAUACAUGCAAGUCGAGGGGCAGCAGUACUUUUCGGAGUAGCUGGCGACCGGCGCACGGGUGCGUAACGCGUAUGCAAUCUACCCACAGCACAGGGAUAGCCCGUGGAAACAUGGAUUAAUACCUGAUAACACAGGGAGCUCACCUGAGCACCUUGUUAAAGUUUUGGCGGCAGUGGAUGAGCAUGCGUCCCAUUAGCUAGUUGGUAAGGUAACAGCUUACCAAGGCGAUGAUGGGUAGGGGUUCUGAGAGGAUGAUCCCCCACACUGGUACUGAGAUACGGACCAGACUCCUACGGGAGGCAGCAGUAGGGAAUAUUGGUCAAUGGACGCAAGUCUGAACCAGCCAUGCCGCGUGCAGGAAGACGGCCUUCUGGGUUGUAAACUGCUUUUUUCAGGGAAGAAAACACUCUUGCGAGAGGGAUUGCCGGUACCUGAGGAAUAAGCACCGGCUAACUCCGUGCCAGCAGCCGCGGUAAUACGGAAGGUGCAAGCGUUGUCCGGAUUUAUUGGGUUUAAAGGGUGCGUAAGCGGCCCCGUAAGUCAGUGGUGAAAGGUAUCAACUCAACUGAUGAAGUGCCAUUGAAACUAACCGGGCUUGAGUUAACAACGAAGUAAGCGGAAAUUUUGGUGUAACGGUGAAAAUGCAUAGAUACCUUCCCCCC